GUUCCCAAUGAUGUUUAUCAUUCUUUACCAUGCUAAUGCUGAGAUACUUUGAUGAAUGUUCAAUGUGUAUCCUGAGGGAACU
Molecule: small nucleolar RNA, 82 nt
Organism: Zingiber officinale
Lineage: Eukaryota; Viridiplantae; Streptophyta; Magnoliopsida; Zingiberales; Zingiberaceae
Product: small nucleolar RNA snoR53Y
Exons: 1
Source: RefSeq, a predicted model, not a curated record